AAGUCGUAACAAGGUUUCCGUAGGUGAACCUGCGGAAGGAUCAUUAUGGGAGUUUGGUUAGAUGAGAGAUUGUGAAGAGGUGUGUGAUUGCUGGGGGUAAUUGAAUGGAUUACAGGGGUAAUUGAAUGGAUUUUACCUGGGGCACACACAAAAUAACAAGAACGAUAAUAGAGAGAUGAGUGCUUCAACAGAGCACAAACCAAUACAAAAAACAAAUACAACUUUUAACAAUGGAUCUCUAGGCUCUU
RNAcentral lists this unclassified non-coding RNA (248 nucleotides) under fungal sp. RNAcentral's name for it is "partial internal transcribed spacer region". The stretch from base 1 to 46 matches the Rfam family "Eukaryotic small subunit ribosomal RNA", at positions 1786 to 1831 of the family's 1831-position model. The record is from RNAcentral. Lineage: Eukaryota; Fungi.